RNAcentral lists this long non-coding RNA (2869 nucleotides) under Homo sapiens (human). RNAcentral describes it as "non-protein coding lnc-RPS5-3:1". Lineage: Eukaryota; Metazoa; Chordata; Mammalia; Primates; Hominidae. The record is from RNAcentral.
CCCGCAUGCAGCGCGGAGCCGUCCUCCCGCCACCUCCGGGCCGCCGCGGCACUGAGGGACCCGGGCCACAGCAAGCGCAGGCGGGAACCCGCGCGGGGACUGCUGGGAAACGUAGUCCCGUCAUGUCCCGCUUUGACGCUGCGGAGAAAGCGGUGUAGGGAGAGGCUUGGGCUUCGGUUAUCAUAGAAACAGAGGCCGGCUACACCUAAAAGGCGGGGCGUGGACCUAAGUCGUCGCCAAAGAAACGGCGUUCUGGACGGGGACGUAGGGUCCCGCCCAUUCCUUCUCGUGAAAGCGGGUGACUGGUCAUGAUUAUGAUUGAUAGCCUCCUCUCCCAAUCUGAUUUCUAAGAGGUCCCAACCCGGAACCGACUUGCGGUUCGCAGGCUCCCCUCGGGUGGGAGAGUUGGGCUGGGAAGCACCUGGGGAGCUCUGAAGUGUCUUGGUGAGCGCGUUGCGAGUCAGACCGAUAACAUCAGAAUCUGGGACUGGGCCCGAGCAUAUGCGCGUCAAAACUCCUCAGUUAAGUCUAUUUUUUUGUAUUUUUUUUGGUUUGCUUUUUUGAGACGGGGUCUCGCUCUGUCGCCCAGGCUAAUGCAGUGACACCAUCACGGUUCACUGCAGCCUCGACCUCCUGAGCUCAAGCGAUCCUCCUACUUCAGCCUCCAGAGUAGCUGUUAACAGGGGCGCGCGCCACCACGCCCGGCUAAUUUUCUUUCUUCUCUCCCUCCCCCUCCUUCUCCCCCUCCCUUCCUCCUCCCACUAUGUCGCCCAGGCUGGUCUCGAACUCCUGUACUGAAGCGACCCUCCCACCUCACCCUCCCGAAUAGCUGGGACUAUAGGUGGGAGCCACCAUGCCUGGAUAGUUUUUUUAUUUUUAUUUAUUUAUUUAUUUUAGAGAUAGGGUCUCCAUAUGUUGCCCAGACUGGUCUGGAACUCCUGGGCUCAAGCGAUCCUCGUGUCUCAGCCUUCCAGAGUGCUGGGAGUACAGGCUUGAGCCACUGCGCCAGGCCCCUAGUCCGGCUCCUAGUUGAUUCUAACACGUGCGGCCCCAUUGGGGAACCACAGCCUCCCCAGCCCCUUUGGGUGUUGCUGACUCUACGGGCCCUCCCAGGUAGGAUGAACUGGUCACGCCUCCUACCCAUUUGUAACCCCCAGCUCUUGCCCCCAUCUAUUGUGUGGCUCCUGCCCUCAAUAGGGACAUCUAAUUUUGUUGGCCAGUCCAGCACAUAUAUUGCAUGUAACGACCCAGUUUGCCCCACCUUUCUGCCUCCACUGCAUCUGCUUCAGGGAUGCUGGGACUGUUCCACUCCCUUUCUCCAUCCUUUGGGUGUCUGCACAUCGAAAGCCUUGUCAGGAGGUCUAUCUCCCUGCCCAAGUACAAAACUCAGGGCUUACCAAGCUAAUUGAGGGCGAGCAGGAGGCUGAAGGGCACUUGGAGGGCUGCCCGCCUUGUGGGUCCCUUGGUGGCUGAAGAGAGUUGCACAGGAAGGCCUUGACAAUUGUCACAGAGAAAGGAGUGCAGCUGCUGGCUCUGUGUGGGUGUGCAGAUGUCUGACAGGUUCAGCCACUGGCCCCAAUUGGGACACAAGUGGGAUUUCUUUUUUUUUUUCUUUUUUGAGACAGUCUUGCUCUGUUGCCCAGGCUGGAGUGCAGUGGCCGCGAUCUCAGCUCACUGCAACUUCCGCCUCCCAGGUUCAAGCAGUUCUCUGCCUCAGCCUCCCGAGUAGCUGGGAUUAUAGGUGCCCACGACCUCGCCCGGCUAAUUUUUGUAUUUUUAGUAGAGAUGGGGUUUCACCAUCUUGGCCAGGCUGGUCUUGAAUUCCUGACCUCAUGAUCCACCCGCCUCGGCCUCACAAAGUGCUGGGAUUCAGGCAUGAGCCACUGCACCCGGCCUGACACAAGUAGGAUUUCUCACACCUGUGGAUGCACUGCUACUGGAGGAGUCUUGAGCCUAUGUGGAAGAACUUCCCACUCCCAGGCACAGAAAGGGCCUCCCUCUGGAGUGAAGAUUCUGGUGGUACCACAGGCCUGGCCACCACACAAAGGCCUUGUCCCUGCAGGGCUGGCAUGGGGUGACUGGCAGCCCUGGAGUGGAGUUUGAAGCACCAAUGAAAGGCCUAACCACUUGGCAGGCACAGGUGCGGGGGACUUGUCUGGAGGGGACCGGCUAUGGGGGCUGUGACAGUCUGUAGGCUUUCUUCACUUCUACACAAGCCUGUUGUCUAAGUGGACCCUGCAGGGUUCAUGCAGGGGCAGCACCAGAGAAGCAUCUUGUGACAAUGGUUACACAGGAGCGAUUUCAGGAAUGAGACUGAAUCAGGCAAGGACCUGGAGAGGAAGCUCCAGUGGGGCUCCCACCCAAGGGGUCCAACUUUACCAAUCCCACAGGUCCCCAGUCUGGGGCUCAUUCUAUGUCUGUAGGCCUGGGACCCUGCACCCAGGAGAGUUGUCCUGCUACCGGCCAUCCCUCCGCAGAGGUCCCCCUCUGGCUCUAUGCUGUCUUCAGCAAAGGGCCUCUGCUCCAUUUCACACCUCUCCUGAGGGCCUGGGGUAGCUUACUGCGAAGCAGCCUCAGGGAAUAGAGGCUUCAGCAGGGCAUCUUGGCCCCCAACACAGAAUCCUGGUUGUAGGAUCUGGAAGAACAGAGGAGAAAUGGAAGUUGGCAGUUCCCAGGAGGGGAGAAGGUGCUGGUGAGCCACGAAAGCAAACCCCAGUGGCUGAAGCAUCCUGGAUGACUCGGCCACAUUUCCUUAAGAAUCUUUGUGUGUGUGUGUGUGUGAGACGGAGUCCCAUUCUGUCACCCAGGCUGGAGUGAAGUGGUGCGAUCUUGGCUCACUGCAACCUCCACCGCCCAGGUUCAAGUGAUU